CCUGUCCUGAAUACAUUAGAGCCUCUCCCGUUCCUCUCUCUCUUUCUCUCACAUACUCACUCUCUCAGUGGCUCAGACCAGCUGAACAAUGCAUAGUCCAGGCACUAGGCGUCUAUGGAAGGGAGAGCGAGAAUAGAGCAAGAGAGGAGGGGAGAGAGGGCAGAAUACAUUUUUGUAUGCGGGUAGACUUACAUGUGUAGUCGACUCCGCAUCUCAUUUUUCGGGGAUAAUCUUUGAGGGAACACACAGAGACCAUGGCGAAGAGAGGAGAGGAGUACAGAAGCUCUCGCUCUCUCCAUUACUAGUUUCAUUCUUUCAUUAUUGAAGCUCUCUCUCUCUUUCUUUCUGUGUUCAGCUCUAUUAGACCCUGUGUAUCAGCCGCCACAGGCAAGAAAAAAAUCGGACACGUCUUGUCUUCACAGGGGGGCGUGUAAGUCGUCUGUCAGAAGGCAAUCACGGAGUCCACAGCACUAUAUGUGGGAGCGCUGUGGUGAGGACAGGAGAAGGAGUAUGCAUGGAGGAUUGCACGGAUUGAGUUGUAAAAUACUGUACUUUGACUGUCUGCUCAAGGGACUCUCUCAUAUCGCUCAUGACAGUCGCUGUCUGAAGGCAGGAGAUAGUCAAGAAGGACGAGACAGAAAGGACCUGUGUCCCGAUGCUCUUCAAGACUUCCUUUCCUCAUCUCCUUUCUUUAUCUCCUUUCCUUGACCACCACUGUUAGAUGGAAGAACUGGUCAAAACUGUUUGUUAAACCACAUACUGUACUUCUAGAUAGAGAAGUCCGGGUAACUGUCUCCAGCAGUUACUUGGGGACUGUCUUUUCACAGUCCCAAUGUCCAAAACGAAUUCAAGGCAACUCACAGAAUUAUACAGAGAAUGAUCACAUGGAACUCUCCUCCAUCUCCAAUUACUCAAGCAAACAUCAAAAUGACCUUUAAAAAAACAGAUGAAGCCACAUCUUGGAAUGGUGGGGACUGUGAGGGGACACACACACACACCCAUUCACAGACACUCUAACACACACAAAAUGUUUUAGUUGUAUUGUUUGUGCAAUUUUUUUAUUUUAUUGUUUGUAUAUCGUUGUAUUUUACAAGACUGUCCUUGUCUUUCAGUGUAUCAGUGUUUGCUUCUGCAAAAAGCUAAUUAGGGGAUCCAAAUAAAGAAAUAAAAGAGAGAUGAAAAAUUAUUGCUAUACAAAAAAAACAUCACAUGAAUACAGUAGGUUUUCUUCAGGCUUUGCCUUGGGUAGUAUCUAUCAUUUUUCACUGUUUGGUAUGAAGUUGAAUGUUAUUUUAUGAAAUAAUCAUGUUAAUUUGGAUCAAUAAAUAUGCAA
Long non-coding RNA from Oncorhynchus tshawytscha (Chinook salmon), 1333 nucleotides. The record is from Ensembl. Lineage: Eukaryota; Metazoa; Chordata; Actinopteri; Salmoniformes; Salmonidae.